CCGGUAAGGUGAUAUGAACCGUUAUAACCGGCGAUACCCGAAUGGGGAAACCCAGUGUGACUCGUCACACUAUCAUUAACUGAAUCCAUAGGUUAAUGAGGCGAACCGGGGGAACUGAAACAUCUAAGUACCCCGAGGAAAAGAAAUCAACCGAGAUUCCCCCAGUAGCGGCGAGCGAACGGGGAGGAGCCCAGAGCCUGAAUCAGCAUGUGUGUUAGUGGAAGCGUCUGGAAAGGCGCGCGAUACAGGGUGACAGCCCCGUACACAAAAGCGCAUGUGCUGUGAGCUCGAUGAGUAGGGCGGGACACGUGGUAUCCUGUCUGAAUAUGGGGGGACCAUCCUCCAAGGCUAAAUACUCCUGACUGACCGAUAGUGAACCAGUACCGUGAGGGAAAGGCGAAAAGAACCCCGGCGAGGGGAGUGAAAAAGAACCUGAAACCGUGUACGUACAAGCAGUGGGAGCACAGGUUUACCUGUGUGACUGCGUACCUUUUGUAUAAUGGGUCAGCGACUUAUAUUCUGUAGCAAGGUUAACCGAAUAGGGGAGCCGGAGGGAAACCGAGUCUUAAUUGGGCGUUAAGUUGCAGGGUAUAGACCCGAAACCCGGUGAUCUAGCCAUGGGCAGGUUGAAGGUUGGGUAACACUAACUGGAGGACCGAACCGACUAAUGUUGAAAAAUUAGCGGAUGACCUGUGGCUGGGGGUGAAAGGCCAAUCAAACCGGGAGAUAGCUGGUUCUCCCCGAAAGCUAUUUAGGUAGCGCCUCGUGAAUUCAUCUCCGGGGGUAGAGCACUGUUUCGGCUAGGGGGCCAUCCCGGCUUACCAACCCGAUGCAAACUGCGAAUACCGGAGAAUGUUAUCACGGGAGACACACGGCGGGUGCUAACGUCCGUCGUGAAGAGGGAAACAACCCAGACCGCCAGCUAAGGUCCCAAAGUCAUGGUUAAGUGGGAAACGAUGUGGGAAGGCCCAGACAGCCAGGAUGUUGGCUUAGAAGCAGCCAUCAUUUAAAGAAAGCGUAAUAGCUCACUGGUCGAGUCGGCCUGCGCGGAAGAUGUAACGGGGCUAAACCAUGCACCGAAGCUGCGGCAGCGA
This 1094-nucleotide ribosomal RNA is filed under the name Salmonella enterica. Its description in RNAcentral is "bacterial LSU rRNA". It matches the Rfam family "Bacterial large subunit ribosomal RNA", at positions 78 to 1211 of the family's 2925-position model. The record is from RNAcentral. Lineage: Bacteria; Pseudomonadati; Pseudomonadota; Gammaproteobacteria; Enterobacterales; Enterobacteriaceae.